AGUGAACGCUGGCGGUAGGCCUAACACAUGCAAGUCGAACGGCAGCACAGUAAGAGCUUGCUCUUACGGGUGGCGAGUGGCGGACGGGUGAGGAAUACAUCGGAAUCUACAUUUUCGUGGGGGAUAACGUAGGGAAACUUACGCUAAUACCGCAUACGACCUCCGGGUGAAAGCAGGGGAUCUUCGGACCUUGCGCGAAUGAAUGAGCCGAUGUCGGAUUAGCUAGUUGGCUGGGUAAAGGCCUACCAAGGCGACGAUCCGUAGCUGGUCUGACAGGAUGAUCAGCCACACUGGAACAGAGACACGGUCCAGACUCCUACAGGAAGCAGCAGCGGGGAAUAUUGGACAAUGGGGGCAAGCCUGAUCCAGCGAUACCGCGUGGGUGAAGAAGGCCUUCGGGUUGUAAAGCCCUUUUGUUGGGAAAGAAAAGCAGCAGGUUAAUACCCCGCUGUUCUGACGGUACCCAAAGAAUAAGCACCGGCUAACUUCGUG
RNAcentral lists this ribosomal RNA (492 nucleotides) under uncultured bacterium. RNAcentral describes it as "partial 16S ribosomal RNA". It matches the Rfam family "Bacterial small subunit ribosomal RNA", at positions 29 to 507 of the family's 1533-position model. The record is from RNAcentral.